UGAGGAAUAUUGGUCAAUGGGGGCAACCCUGAACCAGCCAAGUCGCGUGAAGGAUGAAGGUCUUAUGGAUUGUAAACUUCUUUUAUACGGGAAUAAAGUGGGGGACGUGUCCCCCUUUGCAUGUACCGUAUGAAUAAGGAUCGGCUAACUCCGUGCCAGCAACCGCGGUAAUACGGAGGAUCCGAGCGUUAUCCGGAUUUAUUGGGUUUAAAGGGUGCGCAGGCGGGAUGUUAAGUCGGCGGUGAAAUUUUGCAGCUCAACUGUAAAAGUGCCUUCGAUACUGGCCUUCUUGAGUGUGGAUGAAGUAGGCGGAAUUUGUGGUGUAGCGGUGAAAUGCUUAGAUAUCACGAGGAACUCCGAUUGCGCAGGCAGCUUACUAAGCCGCAACUGACGCUCAUGCACGAAGGCGUGGGGAUCAAACA
RNAcentral lists this ribosomal RNA (422 nucleotides) under uncultured bacterium. RNAcentral describes it as "bacterial SSU rRNA". It matches the Rfam family "Bacterial small subunit ribosomal RNA", at positions 355 to 774 of the family's 1533-position model. The record is from RNAcentral.